UGUGUGUUAGUGGAAGCGUCUGGAAAGGCGCGCGAUACAGGGUGACAGCCCCGUACACAAAAAUGCACAUGCUGUGAGCUCGAUGAGUAGGGCGGGACACGUGGUAUCCUGUCUGAAUAUGGGGGGACCAUCCUCCAAGGCUAAAUACUCCUGACUGACCGAUAGUGAACCAGUACCGUGAGGGAAAGGCGAAAAGAACCCCGGCGAGGGGAGUGAAAAAGAACCUGAAACCGUGUACGUACAAGCAGUGGGAGCACGCUUAGGCGUGUGACUGCGUACCUUUUGUAUAAUGGGUCAGCGACUUAUAUUCUGUAGCAAGGUUAACCGAAUAGGGGAGCCGAAGGGAAACCGAGUCUUAACUGGGCGUUAAGUUGCAGGGUAUAGACCCGAAACCCGGUGAUCUAGCCAUGGGCAGGUUGAAGGUUGGGUAACACUAACUGGAGGACCGAACCGACUAAUGUUGAAAAAUUAGCGGAUGACUUGUGGCUGGGGGUGAAAGGCCAAUCAAACCGGGAGAUAGCUGGUUCUCCCCGAAAGCUAUUUAGGUAGCGCCUCGUGAAUUCAUCUCCGGGGGUAGAGCACUGUUUCGGCAAGGGGGUCAUCCCGACUUACCAACCCGAUGCAAACUGCGAAUACCGGAGAAUGUUAUCACGGGAGACACACGGCGGGUGCUAACGUCCGUCGUGAAGAGGGAAACAACCCAGACCGCCAGCUAAGGUCCCAAAGUCAUGGUU
This 734-nucleotide ribosomal RNA is filed under the name Escherichia coli. Its description in RNAcentral is "partial 23S ribosomal RNA". It matches the Rfam family "Bacterial large subunit ribosomal RNA", at positions 323 to 1060 of the family's 2925-position model. Lineage: Bacteria; Pseudomonadati; Pseudomonadota; Gammaproteobacteria; Enterobacterales; Enterobacteriaceae. The record is from RNAcentral.